This 436-nucleotide ribosomal RNA is filed under the name uncultured Clostridium sp. RNAcentral describes it as "partial 16S ribosomal RNA". It matches the Rfam family "Bacterial small subunit ribosomal RNA", at positions 341 to 792 of the family's 1533-position model. The record is from RNAcentral. Lineage: Bacteria; Bacillati; Bacillota; Clostridia; Eubacteriales; Clostridiaceae.
ACGGGAGGCAGCAGUGGGGAAUAUUGCACAAUGGGCGCAAGCCUGAUGCAGCAACGCCGCGUGAGGGAAGACGGUUUUCGGAUUGUAAACCUCUGUCUUUGGUGACGAAGAAGUGACGGUAGCCAAGGAGGAAGCCACGGCUAACUACGUGCCAGCAGCCGCGGUAAUACGUAGGUGGCAAGCGUUAUCCGGAAUUACUGGGUGUAAAGGGAGCGCAGGCGGGAUAGCAAGUCAGCGGUGAAAAUUAUGGGCUUAACUCAUAAACUGCCGUUGAAACUGUUAUUCUUGAGUGGAGUAGAGGCAGGCGGAAUUCCGAGUGUAGCGGUGAAAUGCGUAGAUAUUCGGAGGAACACCAGUGGCGAAGGCGGCUUGCUGGGCUCUAACUGACGCUGAGGCUCGAAAGUGUGGGGAGCAAACAGGAUUAGAUACCCUGGUA